UUUUUGAGGUUAUCACCUAUUUGGUAAUUCUGAUCAUUUUUAUUUUUAUUUUUAUUUUUAUUUAUUUUUGUGUGCUUGUUAUCAACCUAAUUAUUAAGAAGUGUGUAAAUUUUGAGUUUAAAUCAAUGGUUCAUUCAUUAAUUAGUGAAGUUCAAAUCUAUUGUAGGAAUUAUUUGGGAUUGGUUAGGAUUUGAUUUAGGAUUUAGGAUUUAGGAUUUAAGAUUUGAUUUAGGGUUUAGGAUUUGAUUUACGGUUUGGUUUAGGAUUUGAUUAAGAUUUGAUUUAGGAUUUACGAUUUGAUUAGGAUUUGAUUUAGAAUUUAGAAUUUGAUUAGGAUUUGAUUUAGAAUUUAAGAUUUGGUUAGGAUUUGGUUUAGGAAUUAGGAUUUGGUUAAGAAUUGAUUUAAGAUUUAGAAUUUGGUUAGGAUUUGAUUUAGGAUUAGGAUUUGGUUAAGAAUUAAUUUAAGAUUUAAAAUUUAAUUAGAAGUUGAUUUAGGGUUUAGGAUUUAGUUAGGAUUUGAUUUAAGAUUAGAAUUUGAUUAGGAGUUGAUUUAGGAUUUAGGAUUUGGUUAGAAUUUGAUUAGGAUUUGGGAUUUUAUUAAAAAUUGAUCAAGAUUUAUUUAGGGUUUGUUUAGAAUUUAAGAUUUAAUUAAUUUUUGGCCUAAAAUUUGAAUGAAGUCUAAUAGGAUUUUAACUAGGAUUAAAUUAAGAUUAGAUUGAGAUUUAUUUGAUAUAUAUUUGUGAUCAUUUUAAUAUUUUUUUAAGAUUUCUUAUUGUUUCUUUAUAAUUCUUUUAAGGUUUCUUUGAAUUUGAUUAAAGCUUGCUUAGUAUUGUUAGUGUUCUAUUAGAGUUAGGAUUUUGUUGUUGUAAUUUCUAUUCCACCUUCCACAACCAAGUACUUAGAGCAUUCUUAAGCAAGACUUCACGUAUUAUGACAACAUGCUUUGUUAUAUUGACACGACUCAUAUAAGCGUUCAAAGGCUCAAAUAUCACAAUCCAAACAUGUCCAAAAUCAUGUCUUUGAGAUUUGUUUUAGGAUCUUUUCUCAUCCGAGAUGUCUAGAUAUUAGGAUGUUAUGUCCUUC
RNAcentral lists this long non-coding RNA (1083 nucleotides) under Physcomitrium patens. RNAcentral describes it as "long non-coding RNA (PPAT_LNC008332)". Lineage: Eukaryota; Viridiplantae; Streptophyta; Bryopsida; Funariales; Funariaceae. The record is from RNAcentral.